This 301-nucleotide ribosomal RNA is filed under the name uncultured bacterium. RNAcentral's name for it is "partial 16S ribosomal RNA". It matches the Rfam family "Bacterial small subunit ribosomal RNA", at positions 509 to 807 of the family's 1533-position model. The record is from RNAcentral.
CAGCCGCCGCGGUAAUACGAAGGGGGCUAGCGUUGUUCGGAAUUACUGGGCGUAAAGCGCACGUAGGCGGAUAUUUAAGUCAGGGGUGAGAUCCCAGAGCUCAACUCUGGAACUGCCUUUGAUACUGGGUAUCUUGAGUAUGGAAGAGGUGAGUGGAAUUCCGAGUGUAGAGGUGAAAUUCGUAGAUAUUCGGAGGAACACCAGUGGCGAAGGCGGCUCACUGGUCCAUUACUGACGCUGAGGUGCGAAAGCGUGGGGAGCAAACAGGAUUAGAUACCCGCGUAGUCCCUGUCUCUUAUAC